GACGAACGCUGGCGGCGUGCUUAACACAUGCAAGUCGAACGGACUGCUUGGGGCUUGCCCUGGGUGGUGAGUGGCGAACGGGUGAGUAACACGUGAGUAACCUGCCCUCUUCUUUGGGAUAACGGCCGGAAACGGCUGCUAAUACUGGAUAUUCAUGCUUCCUCGCAUGGGGGGUGUGGAAAGGGUUUCUGGUGGGGGAUGGGCUCGCGGCUUAUCAGCUUGUUGGUGGGGUGAUGGCUUACCAAGGCUUUGACGGGUAGCCGGCCUGAGAGGGUGACCGGUCACAUUGGGACUGAGAUACGGCCCAGACUCCUACGGGAGGCAGCAGUGGGGAAUUUUGCACAAUGGGCGCAAGCCUGAUGCAGCGACGCCGCGUGAGGGAUGGAGGCCUUCGGGUUGUGAACCUCUUUCGCUUAUGGUCAAGCCGCGCUUUUGGGUGUGGUGAGGGUAGUAGGUAAAGAAGCGCCGGCUAACUACGUGCCAGCAGCCGCCGUAAUAC
Molecule: ribosomal RNA, 499 nt
Filed under: uncultured bacterium
Lineage: Bacteria
Description: bacterial SSU rRNA
Rfam family: Bacterial small subunit ribosomal RNA
Source: RNAcentral